Long non-coding RNA from Brassica oleracea var. oleracea, 522 nucleotides. RefSeq lists it as uncharacterized. The transcript has 2 exons. The record is from RefSeq and is a predicted model, not a curated record. NCBI's taxonomy places the organism in Eukaryota, Viridiplantae, Streptophyta, Magnoliopsida, Brassicales, Brassicaceae.
CUCACUGGCUCCCUCUCUCUGCCGACAGAUCCAUUCUUUUUUUUAGUCUUUUCAUCUUCUUUGCUCUCAUCUCUCCCAUCGAUUUUGUGUCUACGGCCUUGUUCUCUUCCUCAAGUUGAUGCCGUCCCGUUUUGGUCCUCUCUUCCCCAGAAUCCAUUGUUUACGGCCUCUUUGGAGAGAGAGGAGACCGAGAGAAUAAAGAAGAGAUAAAGUUCGGCCGGGGGAAGAAGCCGGAUAUGAAGAAGCUUUGCUGGUGGAGAUGGAUCCAAGCAAGAAGAAGAAAGAGAUAAAAAGGGAGAAGACAGAGACGUAAGGAAGAUGGAAGAGGAAGGUGACGCAAGAGGAAGGCAGCGGCGUAGAUUAGGUUUAGUUUUGGUUGGUUUAUUAGGUUUCGUUUAGAUAGGGUUAAUUUAAUAAACCGGUUUGUGUGUAAACCACUGUUAAGAAAUAAACCGAUAUUAAUUUUAAACCAGUUAUUUGUAUACUGAUUUUAAUUAUUAAAUAAAAUUUAAUAUUUAAUUA